UGAAAGCCUGACUGUGAAAUUUGUCACCUCAAGAGGGCCGUGGUGAUUUAGCUCAUCAGACUGGAUAGGCAGGUGUCUUCUUUCCCCUCUAGAAACACUCCAUGUUCCUCCCUCCUGAAGCUGCCCUUGGAGGACGACCUUCUUGAGAGAAGAGGUCAGUUCUGUAAUCAAGGAUACACAAGUAGCCUCACUCCCCUGCUAAAAAUUCUACAGUCUCCCGAGGCCUGUUUGUAGGAGAACUAGGGUAGCUUCGAGCACUCCAGAUAUGUCCAAAUGAGCCAUUGCAUGUGGCAGCCUGCUUUCCCUU
RNAcentral lists this small nuclear RNA (307 nucleotides) under Mus spicilegus (steppe mouse). RNAcentral's name for it is "7SK RNA (ENSMSIG00000026266.1)". It matches the Rfam family "7SK RNA". From Rfam's summary of the family: 7SK was discovered as an abundant small nuclear RNA in the mid-70s but a possible function has only recently been suggested. Lineage: Eukaryota; Metazoa; Chordata; Mammalia; Rodentia; Muridae. The record is from RNAcentral.